This 520-nucleotide ribosomal RNA is filed under the name uncultured Glomus. RNAcentral describes it as "SSU rRNA". It matches the Rfam family "Eukaryotic small subunit ribosomal RNA", at positions 569 to 1089 of the family's 1831-position model. Lineage: Eukaryota; Fungi; Glomeromycota; Glomeromycetes; Glomerales; Glomeraceae. The record is from RNAcentral.
AGCAGCCGCGGUAAUUCCAGCUCCAAUAGCGUAUAUUAAAGUUGUUGCAGUUAAAAAGCUCGUAGUUGAAUUUCGGGGUCAGUAGGUUGGUCGUGCCACCGGUACGUACUGGUCUCACUGAUUCCUCCUUCCUGAAGAACCGUAAUGCCAUUAAUUUGGUGUUGCGGGGAAACAGGACUGUUACUUUGAAAAAAUUAGAGUGUUUAAAGCAGGCUAACGCUUGAAUACAUUAGCAUGGAAUAAUGAAAUAGGACGAUCGAUCCUAUUUUGUUGGUUUCUAGGAUUGACGUAAUGAUUAAUAGGGAUAGUUGGGGGCAUUAGUAUUCAAUUGUCAGAGGUGAAAUUCUUGGAUUUAUUGAAGACUAACUACUGCGAAAGCAUUUGCCAAGGAUGUUUUCAUUAAUCAAGAACGAAAGUUAGGGGAUCGAAGACGAUCAGAUACCGUCGUAGUCUUAACCAUAAACUAUAGCCGACUAGGGAUCGGAUGAUGUUAAUUUUAUAAUGACUCAUUCGGCGCCUU